GACACAGCCCCAUCAUUCUGGGGACACUGAGCUGGUGGGAUUGAACCAUGGCCUGGGUCCCUCUUCUCCUCGUGGUGCUCGCCCACAGCACAGGUUCCCUGGUCCAGGCAGCGCUGACUCAGCAGCCGUCCUCGCUGUCGGCCAAUGUGGGAGAGACUGUCAAGGUCACCUGCUCUGGGCUUAGCAGCAGCUAUGCUUAUGCUGGCUGGUAUCAGCAGAAGGUCCCUGGCAGUGGCCCUGUCACGGUGAUCUACGAUAAUACCAAGAGACCCUCGGGCAUCCCUUUGCGAUUCUCCGGAUCCACAUCCGGCUCCUCGAACACGUUAACCAUCACUGGGGUCCAGGCCGAGGACGAGGCUGUCUAUUUCUGUGGUGGCUAUGACAGCAGCAGUACUGCUGCACAGUGA
This is a non-coding RNA of Corvus hawaiiensis (hawaiian crow), 407 nucleotides long. The record is from the annotation of a RefSeq genome assembly. Lineage: Eukaryota; Metazoa; Chordata; Aves; Passeriformes; Corvidae.